Molecule: ribosomal RNA, 253 nt
Filed under: uncultured Eubacteriales bacterium
Lineage: Bacteria; Bacillati; Bacillota; Clostridia; Eubacteriales
Description: uncultured Clostridiales bacterium partial 16S ribosomal RNA
Rfam family: Bacterial small subunit ribosomal RNA
Source: RNAcentral
UACGGAGGAUGCGAGCGUUAUCCGGAUUUAUUGGGUUUAAAGGGAGCGUAGACGGUGCGCCAAGUCUGGAGUGAAAUGCCGCAGCUUAACUGCGGAACUGCUUUGGAAACUGGCGAACUAGAGUGCGGGAGGGGUAAGCGGAAUUCCUAGUGUAGCGGUGAAAUGCGUAGAUAUCAGGAGGAACACCGGUGGCGAAGGCGGCCUGCUGGACAGUAACUGACGUUGAGGCUCGAAAGCGUGGGGAGCAAACAGG